UAGGGAAUCUUCGGCAAUGGACGGAAGUCUGACCGAGCAACGCCGCGCGAGUGAAGAAGGUUUUCGGAUCGUAAAGCUCUGUUGUUAGAGAAGAACGUUGGUAGGAGUGGAAAAUCUACCAAGUGACGGUAACUAACCAGAAAGGGACGGCUAACUACGUGCCAGCAGCCGCGGUAAUACGUAGGUCCCGAGCGUUGUCCGGAUUUAUUGGGCGUAAAGCGAGCGCAGGCGGUUCUUUAAGUCUGAAGUUAAAGGCAGUGGCUUAACCAUUGUACGCUUUGGAAACUGGAGUACUUGAGUGCAGAAGGGGAGAGUGGAAUUCCAUGUGUAGCGGUGAAAUGCGUAGAUAUAUGGAGGAACGCCGGUGGCGAAAGCGGCUCUCUGGUCUGUAACUGACGCUGAGGCUCGAAAGCGUGGGGAGCAAACAGG
Molecule: ribosomal RNA, 429 nt
Filed under: Bacillota bacterium
Lineage: Bacteria; Bacillati; Bacillota
Description: Firmicutes bacterium partial 16S ribosomal RNA
Rfam family: Bacterial small subunit ribosomal RNA
Source: RNAcentral